GACGAACGCUGGCGGCGUGCUUAACACAUGCAAGUCGAACGGAAAGGCCCUGCUUUUGUGGGGUGCUCGAGUGGCGAACGGGUGAGUAACACGUGAGUAACCUGCCCUUGACUUUGGGAUAACUUCAGGAAACUGGGGCUAAUACCGGAUAGGAGCUCCUGCUGCAUGGUGGGGGUUGGAAAGUUUCGGCGGUUGGGGAUGGACUCACGGCUUAUCAGCUUGUUGGUGGGGUAGUGGCUUACCAAGGCUUUGACGGGUAGCCGGCCUGAGAGGGUGACCGGCCACAUUGGGACUGAGAUACGGCCCAGACUCCUACGGGAGGCAGCAGUGGGGAAUAUUGCACAAUGGGCGGAAGCCUGAUGCAGCAACGCCGCGUGCGGGAUGACGGCCUUCGGGUUGUAAACCGCUUUCGCCUGUGACGAGGCGUGAGUGACGGUAAUGGGUAAAGAAGCACCGGCUAACUACGUG
RNAcentral lists this ribosomal RNA (468 nucleotides) under uncultured bacterium. Its description in RNAcentral is "partial 16S ribosomal RNA". It matches the Rfam family "Bacterial small subunit ribosomal RNA", at positions 28 to 507 of the family's 1533-position model. The record is from RNAcentral.